UGAAGACUGUGAGCAGGUACAUGGAGCAAGAAUAAUGGCUGGCACCGAGCUUUGCUGCAGGAAACCAGCUUUGUUGUAUCAGCUUUCCACUUGCCGUUGCUGUUGCCAGAGGGAAGGAGAUGAGGGAAAUGGGCUAGAACAGCCGAAAAUCUGAUUUAUUUGAAAAAAUACAAUCCUGGGGAAUUGCCAGUAUUAAAUGUACUUAGCACUUGUGCUUGAAGGUAAAAAUAUGGCAUAUGAGAGAGAAGUAGGGACUUUGCAGGGAAAAGGCAAACUAAAUACCAGCAUUGCGGUUGCCAGCUUUUGUGUUUCACAUGCAAUUACAAAAUGUAGUAGCAGCCCAUUUGUAUUGUGCAUGAUUUGUGUAUCAUGAUUAAUCACUGAGGUCUCGACUGGCAACAGCAAGUUGUCUUAGUAAACUAUUUUGUGCAGCCUCCACAGCAGUAAGCGUCGUACUAGGUGGAGUGAGAAACAAAUCCCUUUGGAAAGUCAUUGGAUCUCUCUUCCCUUGGCAAAACUACAACAAAUUUUUUGUCCAGCCUGUCAGAUAUGUCAUACAGGUUUUGCUGCCAGUGUGGUGGUCUGAUCUAAAGCCUGUACUAAGCCUCAUACUUACCGUGGAUUUUAGAUUACUGUGAUGAGUAAUCAGAUUAGUGAGGAGGCCUCUAAGUGUGUAGAAGAACCCUGCUGCUGAAGGAGGGAACUGGCCUGAAGGGUGAGAGUACAGCUGAAUAGGAGCUUCUGGAGUUCAGUAAAGAGGCGUCAUAGAACCAUCGGAUCCAAAUGAUAAUGUGAUAGUAUCAAUGAUUUCUAGUACUAGACUACUAAAACUGGGCCAUCUUCCCAAUAUUAAUGCUGGAAAUAGCGUCUCUAACUUAAAAUUAACUUGUCUUUGGCACAGCCAGUAAUAUAAAUUAUUCUCAGGUUCCACUGUGCGUGAAUUUAAUCACAAGUGAAUUUAUGUACAGGAGCAAUUCAUAAUGACAAUGGUUUAAGUUAGAUCUGAGUGUAGGUGUUUGUAUCACAUAACAGCAUACCAUCUAUAGGAGGGAAGAGUUUACGUAACAUUCUUGCUCUGUGUUCCUGUGUUAUGGUUGGUAGAAUGAGACUGGGGGCCAGUUUGUGAAUUGACACAGAGCUGAAGUGACUGUUCAGUUUGUGUAGGACUGUGUCCGAGCCCCAGGAGGGCCCUGAUAGGACUGAUAGAGCCUCCAGGGACUAAAAAAAAGACUGAAGAGUUGUUUAUGUAGUCUCAAGGUAACCUUCGGUUUGGAGGUAACCAGUGAGGUGUUUUCAACUAAACAAAAAGGUUUCUAUAUCGUUACAAUUACGAUUUUUUUUUUCCCCAGAUGGCAUUUCCACUCUUAUAAUUUAUUCUAAAAUAUUCUUGUGGGAAGUAUCCAGUCCAUUUUCACUGUGUGCUGUACUCGGGGGGGUAGAAUGUUAAGCAUUUGUAAAGAGUACAUAUGUGUAGCCAGAACCAAGUCAAAGCAAGACUCCCUCAUAGCUCUCGGGGUCUGUGUGGCAAACAGAGCCAUAUGGAAGGAGAGCUGGUACGUGAUCCCCCUUCUGCCCCUCCUGAAAUUUAGCUGAAAUGAUUUCUUUUCUUUUUUAAAUUUCAUGUGGUUCCUGCUAGACGUCUUUGCACUUUUAUCAGAGCCAAUGAAAUGGCUGAUACAAUCCUUUCACCCCUGUGGUCUUUGUGCCAGCGUGUACUGAUCUUUCCAGCUUGCUUUUCCUGACUUGUUGCUGUGGGAAGUACAUGGGCAAAGUGUAUUUUGUGACCCUGUGAGCUCUGUCCUAUCACAGAUAUUGAGGAACUGCUAAUGCAAACCAGAAUUCAAAUUCUCACACUGAUUCACUGUCUCUAUAUGUCAGCAGACUCGAAAAACUUCAGGAGAAUUCAAAUCAGCUCCAACACUGAGGCAAGAACAUUGUACUAGCAGACAUUAAAUGCUGUUUCUUUAAAGCUAAAGACCACACAGGCUGUUAACACCUCUUCUUAGCCUGUGACUCCAACACUGGAAGAGUGCUGGACACAGCAGAUGUCUUGAGAAGAUCUGGUGUAGGAAUGAGAAGCCUGUUCUGCUCCAUUUCCAUGGAAAUCUCCCUGAAGAUGAAGCUGAUUUGGAAGAAAAUGUUCUCUUCACAUCUAAGGCUGCCCUAGAGAAACUCAGAAGGAACAGCGUGUCCUGUCCCAAAAAGGCUGCAGACAAGUGAGUUCUAGUCUUUCCUAACUGAAGGAAGCAGUGGCCGCAGUGUGUGCUGAGUCAUUAACUCACUCCUCAACACAUCAGCUGAAAAAUGAAGGGGUAGGAACUGACAGAGGAACUCUAAGUACCUACUACAAAAUGGCUGUUGUUGGGUGAAAGUGGAUGUCUGAAAGGUUAGCUGGAAACUCCCCGUCUCUGUUCUGUUGGUGUUUAAGGACUGAUAUUUUGUUAUAGUUAAAAUUGCUACAACAGUUUUCACCUCAACAAUUUGCAUCUGCCAUAGUAACAUGAAAAUGUAAAACCUUGGUAUGAUGUAUGAAAUGAUGAUUAAUUUACAGCAUUUAUCUUGGUUUACUAAUCAUUCUGGUUUUAGCUGAUAAUUUUAUUUGUAAUCUCCACAGUUAAAUUGCCAUAAAAUAUCAUAGUUAUAAAGACAUUCAUGAGCAGUUGAAAGGAUAUGACACACUGUAAUUUAGGAAUUAAUGCACACAUAAAAAAGGCAAAUUCAAGAGAAAGCUGCUAAUACAUGUACGUUGUGGGAAAAACAAAGCAGGGGAAAAAAAGCUGCAAACCAGAAGAUAAGCACAUGAGCAUUGCAGCUGUAUCAUUAAAUGGCAGUUUAAAGAUAUGGUAAAACCACCUCUGAACAAAGAGUAACAAAGGGCAGAGAAAUGUAACAAAAUAGCCUAGUGCUGAGUGUGAGUGGUACCAGCUGGAAAACAUUCCCAGUCCCUGCCUGAUUAAGCUCUGCCUUGCCAUCUCUCUCAACAGGGACAGCUAAAGAAUGUCCCCCAUUUAAUGAAACUCGGACAUAUCACUUCCACUGUGGAAGCACUGGGGAGCUCCACAAAAGGAUCAGGGCCUGCAUUCCCAGGGAAUGCAAAACUGUGAGCAAGAUGCUCUUUGCUGGCAGUACUGGGUAAUCCCGAUUUACAAGAUAUCCAAGUGUAGGACAAGACCUUUGAAGACUGAAGCAGUCUCCAAAUACGCCAUCUGCUGCCUUCUUGGGUUUCUGAUCCUGUCUACAUACCCCAGGGAAGCGUGGCCAUGGGCUUCCACUGGUGGAUUUGGGCUGGUACCUUGCAGAGCCUCAUGGUGUACACUGGGCUCAGUGCUGGCUGGUCACUCAGUGCUAGGUUGGGAGUGGUGGGAGCUCUGUGUUGCUCUGUUUUCCUCAAGUUGAAGGCAGCAGUUUAAAUCUAGGCUGGGCAUGUCCAUGUUGCCGCUGUCUGAAGUACGGGAGUACCGCAGUAUCAGCCAGCUCCUCUUCACCUGCAUGUCUCUCUGGGUGAUGUCAUCACCAACCACAUGUGACAGGAAGGAACACACAGUAUCUACAGUCUGCAAGCAAUGCAGAAUUAAAGUUUUCUUCAGAACAACAACCAGAAGCUUAAGGAAGGGGGUAGAUAGAGGUGGGUGAAGUAAUCAAGAAAAUUAUAUGGACUUUGGUACAUUCAACAUGCGCUUACAUUGGUAGUAGACUAUUUAUUUGUUUAAUUUGGCUACUCUAUCUCUUUUAAUGAUUGGUCAUGCUGGGUUGCAUAGAUAUAAUUAUCCUUUUUAGAUCCCUGUAAUUGCAUGAAGAAGAAAUGUAGAGUUAUGUUUUCCUUCACUAUUAACUGUGUAGCUCUGCAGAGGUGCACAGGGAGAGAUCCAUCUCCUUAUGGCUUGAGACACACAAAUUACAGGAAAUUAGGGAAGUUCCUCCCCCCUUUUCUGUACAGGCAACCCUUUGUUGUGUGUUUGUUCUUCAUAGAAAACAGUUAGUCAUUAAUCAUAUGCAAUCCAAUAGGGAACCUUAUGAUCAAGGAAUGAGGAGUUCAGCCAUGCUUCCUUUGAAGGAUGUUUUUACAAGGCACAGAUUAUCCCAUGGCAAAAGUAAUCCUUAGCAAUAAAGAGAAGAGUUGGAAAUGGUAGAAGUAGAGUAGCAGUAGCUCUUUGGUUACUUUGAACUGUCUUGGGGAAUUGCAAUUUAUACCUACAAAAGAAUGGGAAGAGUUUGAAGAAUGGUGUGAUGAGAUGGAGCCUGUAUCUUAAUGGGUUGCUGUGUUUAACAGGGUCCUGGCUUCAAACAAACUCAUUUCCCUUUCCAAGGCUGCUCAUGGAAAUGCACAUCUGUUGGUCCCUGCUCUCACUCUGCUUUCAUUCAGACACCCAUUCUAAAGAAUAAUGAACAUUUAAGACCUAGCAGAGAUUUUAUUAGCUCAGUCCCCCCAGCACAAUUUUAUUUUGUAUCUUAAAUUCCCCAAUUCUCUUAUUUUCUGUUCUAGCGUUACCUUGACAAUACGUA
This is a long non-coding RNA of Pezoporus occidentalis (night parrot), 4503 nucleotides long. RefSeq lists it as uncharacterized. The transcript has 3 exons. NCBI's taxonomy places the organism in Eukaryota, Metazoa, Chordata, Aves, Psittaciformes, Psittacidae. The record is from RefSeq and is a predicted model, not a curated record.